RNAcentral lists this ribosomal RNA (640 nucleotides) under uncultured Acidiphilium sp. RNAcentral describes it as "bacterial SSU rRNA". It matches the Rfam family "Bacterial small subunit ribosomal RNA", at positions 57 to 692 of the family's 1533-position model. Lineage: Bacteria; Pseudomonadati; Pseudomonadota; Alphaproteobacteria; Acetobacterales; Acidocellaceae. The record is from RNAcentral.
GCAAGUCGAACGGCAGCACGGGCUUCGGCCUGGUGGCGAGUGGCGGACGGGUGAGUAAAGCGUAGGAACCUAUCCUUUUGUGGGGGACAACCCAGGGAAACUUGGGCUAAUACCGCAUAAGUCCUGAGGGAGAAAGCGGGGGAUCUUCGGACCUCGUGCUGAAGGAGGGGCCUACGUCCGAUUAGCUAGUUGGUAGGGUAAAGGCCUACCAAGGCGACGAUCGGUAGCUGGUCUGAGAGGACGAUCAGCCACACUGGGACUGAGACACGGCCCAGACUCCUACGGGAGGCAGCAGUGGGGAAUUUUUCGCAAUGGGGGCAACCCUGACGAAGCAAUGCCGCGUGAAUGAAGAAGGCCUUCGGGUUGUAAAGUUCUUUCGUGGGAGACGAAAAGGCAAGCGCUAAUAUCGUUUGCUGUUGACGUGAACCCAAGAAGAAGCACCGGCUAACUCCGUGCCAGCAGCCGCGGUAAUACAGAGGUGGCAAGCGUUGUUCGGAGUUACUGGGCGUAAAGAGUCUGUAGGUGGUCUGUCAAGUCUUUGGUGAAAGGCCGUGGCUUAACCAUGGGAAUGCCAAAGAGACUGGCAGACUGGAGGCUGGGAGAGGGAAGCGGAAUUUCUGGUGUAGCGGUGAAAUGCGUA